Homo sapiens (human) is the source of this 184-nucleotide long non-coding RNA. RefSeq lists it as uncharacterized. Lineage: Eukaryota; Metazoa; Chordata; Mammalia; Primates; Hominidae. The transcript has 2 exons. The record is from RefSeq and is a predicted model, not a curated record.
GACUUCUGAAAGAUGAGUAUGGACUAGCCAGGCAACUGGGCAUGAGAAAACGGAAGAUUUUAAGCUUCAUGAAGAAGAGAACUUUGUCUUAUUCACUGCUAUAUCCAAGGAAGAAAGAGCAGAUCCCAGCAUUUUGUAAACACCGAAUAAGUAAUCUGUGAAUGAAUAAAUGAACAAAAGCUGA